GGCAUGGUGGCGUAGUGGUUAGCACUGUCGCCUCACAGCAAGAAGGUUGUGGGUUCGAAUCUGGCCUGGGGCA
Gymnothorax javanicus (giant moray) is the source of this 73-nucleotide non-coding RNA. The record is from the annotation of a GenBank genome assembly. Lineage: Eukaryota; Metazoa; Chordata; Actinopteri; Anguilliformes; Muraenidae.